AUUGAACGCUGGCGGCAUGCCUUACACAUGCAAGUCGAACGGCAGCACGGGGGCAACCCUGGUGGCGAGUGGCGAACGGGUGAGUAACAUAUCGGAACAUACCCUAGAGUGGGGGAUAACGUAGCGAAAGUUACGCUAAUACCGCAUACGAUCUAAGGAUGAAAGUGGGGGAUCUUCGGACCUCAUGCUCAUGGAGUGGCCGAUAUCUGAUUAGCUAGUUGGUGAGGUAAAGGCUCACCAAGGCGACGAUCAGUAGCUGGUUUGAGAGAACGACCAGCCACACUGGAACUGAGACACGGUCCAGACUCCUACGGGAGGCAGCAGUGGGGAAUUUUGGACAAUGGGGGCGAACCCUCGAUCCAGCAAUGCCGCGUGAGUGAAGAAGG
RNAcentral lists this ribosomal RNA (386 nucleotides) under uncultured bacterium. Its description in RNAcentral is "bacterial SSU rRNA". It matches the Rfam family "Bacterial small subunit ribosomal RNA", at positions 30 to 414 of the family's 1533-position model. The record is from RNAcentral.